This 2839-nucleotide ribosomal RNA is filed under the name Staphylococcus aureus. Its description in RNAcentral is "partial 23S ribosomal RNA". It matches the Rfam family "Bacterial large subunit ribosomal RNA". Lineage: Bacteria; Bacillati; Bacillota; Bacilli; Caryophanales; Staphylococcaceae. The record is from RNAcentral.
AGAUUAAGUUAUUAAGGGCGCACGGUGGAUGCCUUGGCACUAGAAGCCGAUGAAGGACGUUACUAACGACGAUAUGCUUUGGGGAGCUGUAAGUAAGCUUUGAUCCAGAGAUUUCCGAAUGGGGAAACCCAGCAUGAGUUAUGUCAUGUUAUCGAUAUGUGAAUACAUAGCAUAUCAGAAGGCACACCCGGAGAACUGAAACAUCUUAGUACCCGGAGGAAGAGAAAGAAAAUUCGAUUCCCUUAGUAGCGGCGAGCGAAACGGGAAGAGCCCAAACCAACAAGCUUGCUUGUUGGGGUUGUAGGACACUCUAUACGGAGUUACAAAGGACGACAUUAGACGAAUCAUCUGGAAAGAUGAAUCAAAGAAGGUAAUAAUCCUGUAGUCGAAAAUGUUGUCUCUCUUGAGUGGAUCCUGAGUACGACGGAGCACGUGAAAUUCCGUCGGAAUCUGGGAGGACCAUCUCCUAAGGCUAAAUACUCUCUAGUGACCGAUAGUGAACCAGUACCGUGAGGGAAAGGUGAAAAGCACCCCGGAAGGGGAGUGAAAUAGAACCUGAAACCGUGUGCUUACAAGUAGUCAGAGCCCGUUAAUGGGUGAUGGCGUGCCUUUUGUAGAAUGAACCGGCGAGUUACGAUUUGAUGCAAGGUUAAGCAGUAAAUGUGGAGCCGUAGCGAAAGCGAGUCUGAAUAGGGCGUUUAGUAUUUGGUCGUAGACCCGAAACCAGGUGAUCUACCCUUGGUCAGGUUGAAGUUCAGGUAACACUGAAUGGAGGACCGAACCGACUUACGUUGAAAAGUGAGCGGAUGAACUGAGGGUAGCGGAGAAAUUCCAAUCGAACCUGGAGAUAGCUGGUUCUCUCCGAAAUAGCUUUAGGGCUAGCCUCAAGUGAUGAUUAUUGGAGGUAGAGCACUGUUUGGACGAGGGGCCCCUCUCGGGUUACCGAAUUCAGACAAACUCCGAAUGCCAAUUAAUUUAACUUGGGAGUCAGAACAUGGGUGAUAAGGUCCGUGUUCGAAAGGGAAACAGCCCAGACCACCAGCUAAGGUCCCAAAAUAUAUGUUAAGUGGAAAAGGAUGUGGCGUUGCCCAGACAACUAGGAUGUUGGCUUAGAAGCAGCCAUCAUUUAAAGAGUGCGUAAUAGCUCACUAGUCGAGUGACACUGCGCCGAAAAUGUACCGGGGCUAAACAUAUUACCGAAGCUGUGGAUUGUCCUUUGGACAAUGGUAGGAGAGCGUUCUAAGGGCGUUGAAGCAUGAUCGUAAGGACAUGUGGAGCGCUUAGAAGUGAGAAUGCCGGUGUGAGUAGCGAAAGACGGGUGAGAAUCCCGUCCACCGAUUGACUAAGGUUUCCAGAGGAAGGCUCGUCCGCUCUGGGUUAGUCGGGUCCUAAGCUGAGGCCGACAGGCGUAGGCGAUGGAUAACAGGUUGAUAUUCCUGUACCACCUAUAAUCGUUUUAAUCGAUGGGGGGGACGCAGUAGGAUAGGCGAAGCGUGCGAUUGGAUUGCACGUCUAAGCAGUAAGGCUGAGUAUUAGGCAAAUCCGGUACUCGUUAAGGCUGAGCUGUGAUGGGGAGAAGACAUUGUGUCUUCGAGUCGUUGAUUUCACACUGCCGAGAAAAGCCUCUAGAUAGAAAAUAGGUGCCCGUACCGCAAACCGACACAGGUAGUCAAGAUGAGAAUUCUAAGGUGAGCGAGCGAACUCUCGUUAAGGAACUCGGCAAAAUGACCCCGUAACUUCGGGAGAAGGGGUGCUCUUUAGGGUUAACGCCCAGAAGAGCCGCAGUGAAUAGGCCCAAGCGACUGUUUAUCAAAAACACAGGUCUCUGCUAAACCGUAAGGUGAUGUAUAGGGGCUGACGCCUGCCCGGUGCUGGAAGGUUAAGAGGAGUGGUUAGCUUCUGCGAAGCUACGAAUCGAAGCCCCAGUAAACGGCGGCCGUAACUAUAACGGUCCUAAGGUAGCGAAAUUCCUUGUCGGGUAAGUUCCGACCCGCACGAAAGGCGUAACGAUUUGGGCACUGUCUCAACGAGAGACUCGGUGAAAUCAUAGUACCUGUGAAGAUGCAGGUUACCCGCGACAGGACGGAAAGACCCCGUGGAGCUUUACUGUAGCCUGAUAUUGAAAUUCGGCACAGCUUGUACAGGAUAGGUAGGAGCCUUUGAAACGUGAGCGCUAGCUUACGUGGAGGCGCUGGUGGGAUACUACCCUAGCUGUGUUGGCUUUCUAACCCGCACCACUUAUCGUGGUGGGAGACAGUGUCAGGCGGGCAGUUUGACUGGGGCGGUCGCCUCCUAAAAGGUAACGGAGGCGCUCAAAGGUUCCCUCAGAAUGGUUGGAAAUCAUUCAUAGAGUGUAAAGGCAUAAGGGAGCUUGACUGCGAGACCUACAAGUCGAGCAGGGUCGAAAGACGGACUUAGUGAUCCGGUGGUUCCGCAUGGAAGGGCCAUCGCUCAACGGAUAAAAGCUACCCCGGGGAUAACAGGCUUAUCUCCCCCAAGAGUUCACAUCGACGGGGAGGUUUGGCACCUCGAUGUCGGCUCAUCGCAUCCUGGGGCUGUAGUCGGUCCCAAGGGUUGGGCUGUUCGCCCAUUAAAGCGGUACGCGAGCUGGGUUCAGAACGUCGUGAGACAGUUCGGUCCCUAUCCGUCGUGGGCGUAGGAAAUUUGAGAGGAGCUGUCCUUAGUACGAGAGGACCGGGAUGGACAUACCUCUGGUGUACCAGUUGUCGUGCCAACGGCAUAGCUGGGUAGCUAUGUGUGGACGGGAUAAGUGCUGAAAGCAUCUAAGCAUGAAGCCCCCCUCAAGAUGAGAUUUCCCAACUUCGGUUAUAAGAUCCCU